ACGCGAGCUGGGUUCAGAACGUCGUGAGACAGUUCGGUCCCUAUCUGCCGUGGGUGUUGGAAACUUGAGAGGAUUUGUCCUUAGUACGAGAGGACCGGGAUGAACAUACCUCUGGUGGACCUGUUGUGGCGCCAGCCGCAUUGCAGGGUAGCUAUGUAUGGACGGGAUAACCGCUGAAUGCAUCUAAGCGGGAAACCCACCUCAAAACCAGGUUUCCCUUGAGAGCCGUUCUAGACUAGAACGUCGAUAGGCCGGGUGUGGAAGUGCGGCGACGCAUGGAGCUAACCGGUACUAAUUGCUCGAUUGGCUUGAUCUUUAGAAGCUC
This 325-nucleotide ribosomal RNA is filed under the name Alphaproteobacteria bacterium. RNAcentral describes it as "partial 23S ribosomal RNA". It matches the Rfam family "Bacterial large subunit ribosomal RNA", at positions 2598 to 2925 of the family's 2925-position model. The record is from RNAcentral. Lineage: Bacteria; Pseudomonadati; Pseudomonadota; Alphaproteobacteria.